Long non-coding RNA from Arachis stenosperma, 279 nucleotides. RefSeq lists it as uncharacterized. The transcript is spliced from 3 exons. Lineage: Eukaryota; Viridiplantae; Streptophyta; Magnoliopsida; Fabales; Fabaceae. The record is from RefSeq and is a predicted model, not a curated record.
GCUGAAAUGGGGGUAUGGGGGAGCAAAUAAGAACCCUAAACCCCUUGCUUUGAUUUCAAUUUGCCAUAACUUUCAAUCCGGAGAUUCGAUCGCUGCACCGUUUGCGGCCACACAUUUGCAGUGACGAGCUCUACAAAAUCUGGUACCUUUUAAGGAUCAAAUUGACUUGAGGAAUUGGUAGGUUUUGGAUUAAUUGAAGCACAUAUACAGUGUAUAUAUGUACAUGUUGGAGCUUGAAUUGUGAGUUUUGGAACUCGGUGGAGUUUGGGUGACGUGCGU